CAGCCGCCGCGGUAAUACGAAGGGUGCAAGCGUUAAUCGGAAUUACUGGGCGUAAAGCGUGCGUAGGCGGUUGUGUAAGACAGGUGUGAAAUCCCCGGGCUCAACCUGGGAAUGGCAGUGGAUACUGGCUCGCUAGAGUGUGUCAGAGGAUGGUGGAAUUCCCGGUGUAGCGGUGAAAUGCGUAGAGAUCGGGAGGAACAUCUGUGGCGAAGGCGACUAUCUGGGCCAACACUGACACUGAGGCACGAAAGCGUGGGGAGCAAACAGGAUUAGAUACCCCUGUAGUCCCUGUCUCUUAUAC
Molecule: ribosomal RNA, 301 nt
Filed under: uncultured bacterium
Lineage: Bacteria
Description: partial 16S ribosomal RNA
Rfam family: Bacterial small subunit ribosomal RNA
Source: RNAcentral